This 61-nucleotide transfer RNA is filed under the name Brontostoma colossus. RNAcentral's name for it is "tRNA-Ala". Lineage: Eukaryota; Metazoa; Arthropoda; Insecta; Hemiptera; Reduviidae. The record is from RNAcentral.
GGGGAUGUAGUUAAUUAAACUUUUAAUUUGCAAUUAAAAAAUACUUCCUGAGUCUUCCUCA